This 483-nucleotide ribosomal RNA is filed under the name uncultured bacterium. Its description in RNAcentral is "partial 16S ribosomal RNA". It matches the Rfam family "Bacterial small subunit ribosomal RNA", at positions 29 to 506 of the family's 1533-position model. The record is from RNAcentral.
AUUGAACGCUGGCGGCAUGCUUUACACAUGCAAGUCGAACGGCAGCGCGGGCUUCGGCCUGGCGGCGAGUGGCGAACGGGUGAGUAAUACAUCGGAACGUGCCCAGUAGUGGGGGAUAGCUCGGCGAAAGCCGGAUUAAUACCGCAUACGACCUGAGGGUGAAAGCGGGGGAUCUUCGGACCUCGCGCUAUUGGAGCGGCCGAUGGCAGAUUAGCUAGUUGGUGGGGUAAAGGCCUACCAAGGCGACGAUCUGUAGCUGGUCUGAGAGGACGACCAGCCACACUGGGACUGAGACACGGCCCAGACUCCUACGGGAGGCAGCAGUGGGGAAUUUUGGACAAUGGGCGAAAGGCUGAUCCAGCAAUGCCGCGUGUGUGAUGAAGGCCUUCGGGUUGUAAAGCACUUUUGGCGGGAACGAAAAGGACUGUGCCAAUACCACGGUUCGAUGACGGUACCCGCAGAAUAAGCACCGGCUAACUACGU